RNAcentral lists this long non-coding RNA (1000 nucleotides) under Phasianus colchicus (ring-necked pheasant). RNAcentral describes it as "lncRNA (ENSPCLG00000003066.1)". Lineage: Eukaryota; Metazoa; Chordata; Aves; Galliformes; Phasianidae. The record is from RNAcentral.
GGAAACUUCUUAUGUUGUGCAAAUGCAUUAAAUUACAACUUUAUAGUAAGCAAAACUUUAUGUGAAAAGGAACAAAACAUUUAAAAAUCUUUUAAUCUCAUUGUGAUUUUUCUAAUGUAAAGUUAAUGUAAAGACCUGUAUUAAAUAAGUGGAAUCUAUGUCUGUCACCACUUUAAAUUCUAAGUUUACCAUCUUCCAGAAGCUGAGUAACUGAACAUGGAGGAACAUUUUCUUGAGCUAAAUCUUUAAAUGAAGAGUAAAUGACAUGAGAUUAAAGAGUUGUUGUGACAUACAGUUUAUGUAUGAUCUUUGGUGCAUUUCUGAUGCACACACCAAACUUCCAACCAGAGGAAACUGCUUCAAAGAGGAAGGGUAUUAGAGCUGUUUGCUUUUUCACAUGCAGUCCUUGCUGAAGGGAUAGUGUGCUGCUGUUACACUGCUUUGUUGUGAUCAAUUGCUGCAUGCCAGAUGUCAACUGCCAAAGCAACACAUUGAAGUCAUCUGUGAUGAACAGUUCACCUGUCACAGGAUCUGUGCCAGUGUUGCAAUCAAACUGCUUCUGAAGAAACUCCUUAUACCUGGACUUGCUGGAGGCGAUGGACGAUUGCUUGGAGAUUCAAGGAGACUAACUUCUUCUACAGCCCAUCCUCUGCUCCAGAAAGAGAAUGGGUGAAGUUGAAGAAGGAAGUUGACUCUAUCUGUGAAGAUCUGCUGUGUAAUGGAAAUUAUCAGGCUGGUUCUGAGUGUACAGAACCGAAAAGGACAUGGGCUUAUUUCAUGUCUCUCCAUAAGUGGACAGGAAGAGAAUAAAGCCAGACAGAUGAUGGGAAAAAAGACAUGCAGGUGUUUGCCGCUAUGCAAAGCAUCAGGACAAAAUCUUCCAAUGUGGAAAAGAGGUAGAGCCUCAAAACAAGGCAACAGUUCAGGAACAAGCCUGGGUUCCAUUAAGCCAAGGCAAAGCCAAAGUAAGGUCAAUGUCAGGGUUACGAUAGAGGCAUAG